RNAcentral lists this ribosomal RNA (363 nucleotides) under Fallicambarus petilicarpus. RNAcentral describes it as "partial 12S ribosomal RNA". Lineage: Eukaryota; Metazoa; Arthropoda; Malacostraca; Decapoda; Cambaridae. The record is from RNAcentral.
UAGUACACUUAAAUUUAAUUUUAUAAAUACUAGAAUAUUAAAAGUUAUAUUCUUUAAAUUUAAAAAAUUUGGCGGUGUUUUAGUCUGGUUAGAGGAACCUGUAUUAUAAACGAUACAACACGCAUUAUUUCACUUAUUUUAGUAAACAGUUUGUAUACCGUCAUUAUUAGAUAAUUUAGAAGAAAAAUAUUAUUGGGAUCAUAUUGUUGAGUAUAUUAGAUCAAGGUGCAGCUUAUAAGUAAGUAGAUAUGGGUUACAAUAAAAUUUAUUUAAUAUGGAUUUAAUAUUUAAAUAUGUUUAUGAAGGAGGAUUUAAUUGUAAGGGAAGGAGUAGUAAGAUUUUCUGAUAAAAGCUCUAGAUUAU